RNAcentral lists this ribosomal RNA (506 nucleotides) under uncultured bacterium. RNAcentral describes it as "partial 16S ribosomal RNA". It matches the Rfam family "Bacterial small subunit ribosomal RNA", at positions 28 to 523 of the family's 1533-position model. The record is from RNAcentral.
GAUGAACGCUAGCUACAGGCUUAACACAUGCAAGUCGAGGGGUAACGAGAGGGAAGCUUGCUUUCCUUGUUGACGACCGGCGCACGGGUGAGUAACGCGUAUCCAACCUGCCCCCAACUAGGGAAUAACCUUGCGAAAGUAAGACUAAUACCCUAUAAUUUCCUCAGAUGUCAUCUGACGAGGAAUAAAGAUUUAUCGGUUGUGGAUGGGGAUGCGUCUGAUUAGCUUGUUGGCGGGGUAACGGCCCACCAAGGCGACGAUCAGUAGGGGUUCUGAGAGGAAGGUCCCCCACAUUGGAACGUGGACACGAGCCAAACUCCUACGGGAGGCAGCAGUGAGGAAGAUUGGUCAAUGGACGGAGGCCUGAACCAGCCAAGUAGCGUGCAGGAUGACGGCCCUAUGGGUUGUAAACUGCUUUUAUACAGGAAUAAAGUUAGCCACGUGUGGUUAUUUGUAGGUACUGUAUGAAUAAGGACCGGCUAAUUCCGUGCCAGCGGCCGCCGUAA